This 791-nucleotide long non-coding RNA is filed under the name Anas platyrhynchos platyrhynchos (common mallard). Its description in RNAcentral is "lncRNA (ENSAPLG00000028440.1)". Lineage: Eukaryota; Metazoa; Chordata; Aves; Anseriformes; Anatidae. The record is from RNAcentral.
CUGGGAUGGGGAGACAGAACAUCCAAUGUAAGGGCUUUCAAAACUUCCCAGAAUGGCCCAGGGAGAUCCUGCUACAGCUAUUGAUUACUUGCAGCAGCUGAAGAUUGUGAACAAAUGACAACAAAUUAGAUUUCCAACAUAAGUUAACCAAAUUAACAUGUUUCCCUUUGUUUUAUGAAAAGGUAUAGAAAUCACCAGAAAUCUUGCUUGUACCUUAUAAAUGUAUCCAUCCAAAGCUAAUUCAUGCCCAUGAGUACAGAAUAAAAUUGUACUUGUUCACACUUCACCAAAUUAUACACCUGUGUAAAUUAAAUGGUGGUCUCUUUUUCACUUCUCAGCAAGAAAGAGAUCCACCAGCAUAUAAAUCUGCUGAAGAUGCAGGCUUUGAAGACUUCAUCUUCUUGACAAAAGUGCUAAAGUAUUUUACUAGAAAGAAUCAUAACAAAGCCUGAAAGCAAAUGCAGGAUUGUCAGACAGAUGGAAGAAUCGUGCAGAAGAAAAGGCAGCCAGCCAUGGCUAAGGCUUCACUAAGCCAGGGAAGUGACACUGAGAAGUGGCAUCUUCUGAGGAGAUCUCCCCAUCAGAAGGGGACUACUCUAGGUUCGUAUAUAAGAGCUCAAAAGGACGAAGUGGGGCUACUCAUUUCUCUCCAGGACAUUCCUAGAAGGAAUAUCCCAACAAAACAAGGGGAAAAAAAGAAAAAGAGAUCAUAUACAUCUAAAGAUGUUCAACGAUCUAAAGAGUGCUAAAGAAAUUAACAGGAAAAAAAAAUAAAAAGGAUGAAACCCACA